GUGCUUGCUUCGGCAGCACAUAUACUAAAAUUGGAACGAUACAGAGAAGAUUAGCACAGCUCCUGCGCGAGGAUGACACGCAAAUUAGUGAAGUGUUCCAUAUUUUU
This is a small nuclear RNA of Orcinus orca (killer whale), 107 nucleotides long. The record is from RefSeq and is a predicted model, not a curated record. Lineage: Eukaryota; Metazoa; Chordata; Mammalia; Artiodactyla; Delphinidae.